Molecule: ribosomal RNA, 2923 nt
Filed under: Campylobacter coli
Lineage: Bacteria; Pseudomonadati; Campylobacterota; Epsilonproteobacteria; Campylobacterales; Campylobacteraceae
Description: bacterial LSU rRNA
Rfam family: Bacterial large subunit ribosomal RNA
Source: RNAcentral
AAAAAAGGUAAGCUACUAAGAGCGAAUGGUGGAUGCCUUGACUGGUAAAGGCGAUGAAGGACGUACUAGACUGCGAUAAGCUACGGGGAGCUGUCAAGAAGCUUUGAUCCGUAGAUUUCCGAAUGGGGCAACCCAAUGUAUAGAGAUAUACAUUACCUAUAUAGGAGCGAACGAGGGGAAUUGAAACAUCUUAGUACCCUCAGGAAAAGAAAUCAAUAGAGAUUGCGUCAGUAGCGGCGAGCGAAAGCGUAAGAGGGCAAACCCAGUGCUUGCACUGGGGGUUGUAGGACUGCAAUGUGCAAGAGGUGAGUUUAGCAGAACAUUCUGGAAAGUAUAGCCAUAGAGGGUGAUAGUCCCGUAUGCGAAAAACAAACCUUAGCUAGCAGUAUCCUGAGUAGGGCGGGACACGAGAAAUCCUGUCUGAAGCUGGGUCGACCACGAUCCAACCCUAAAUACUAAUACCAGAUCGAUAGUGCACAAGUACCGUGAGGGAAAGGUGAAAAGAACUGAGGUGAUCAGAGUGAAAUAGAACCUGAAACCAUUUGCUUACAAUCAUUCAGAGCACUAUGUAGCAAUACAGUGUGAUGGACUGCCUUUUGCAUAAUGAGCCUGCGAGUUGUGGUGUCUGGCAAGGUUAAGCAAACGCGAAGCCGUAGCGAAAGCGAGUCUGAAUAGGGCGCUUAGUCAGAUGCUGCAGACCCGAAACGAAGUGAUCUAUCCAUGAGCAAGUUGAAGCUAGUGUAAGAACUAGUGGAGGACUGAACCCAUAGGCGUUGAAAAGCCCCGGGAUGACUUGUGGAUAGGGGUGAAAGGCCAAUCAAACUUCGUGAUAGCUGGUUCUCUCCGAAAUAUAUUUAGGUAUAGCGUUGUGUCGUAAUAUAAGGGGGUAGAGCACUGAAUGGGCUAGGGCAUACACCAAUGUACCAAACCCUAUCAAACUCCGAAUACCUUAUAUGUAAUCACAGCAGUCAGGCGGCGAGUGAUAAAAUCCGUCGUCAAGAGGGAAACAACCCAGACUACCAGCUAAGGUCCCUAAAUCUUACUUAAGUGGAAAACGAUGUGAAGUUACUUAAACAACCAGGAGGUUGGCUUAGAAGCAGCCAUCCUUUAAAGAAAGCGUAAUAGCUCACUGGUCUAGUGAUUUUGCGCGGAAAAUAUAACGGGGCUAAAGUAAGUACCGAAGCUGUAGACUUGAUUUUAUCAAGUGGUAGGAGAGCGUUCUAUUUGCGCCGAAGGUAUACCGGUAAGGAGUGCUGGAGCGAAUAGAAGUGAGCAUGCAGGCAUGAGUAGCGAUAAUUAAUGUGAGAAUCAUUAACGCCGUAAACCCAAGGUUUCCUACGCGAUGCUCGUCAUCGUAGGGUUAGUCGGGUCCUAAGUCGAGUCCGAAAGGGGUAGACGAUGGCAAAUUGGUUAAUAUUCCAAUACCAACAUUAGUGUGCGAUGGAAGGACGCUUAGGGCUAAGGGGGCUAGCGGAUGGAAGUGCUAGUCUAAGGUCGUAGGAGGUUAUACAGGCAAAUCCGUAUAACAAUACUCCGAGAACUGAAAGGCUUUUUGAAGUCUUCGGAUGGAUAGAAGAACCCCUGAUGCCGUCGAGCCAAGAAAAGUUUCUAAGUUUAGCUAAUGUUGCCCGUACCGUAAACCGACACAGGUGGGUGGGAUGAGUAUUCUAAGGCGCGUGGAAGAACUCUCUUUAAGGAACUCUGCAAAAUAGCACCGUAUCUUCGGUAUAAGGUGUGGUUCGCUUCGUAUUAGGAUUUACUCCGAAAGCGAAGAAACUUACAACAAAGAGUCCCUCCCGACUGUUUACCAAAAACACAGCACUCUGCUAACUCGUAAGAGGAUGUAUAGGGUGUGACGCCUGCCCGGUGCUCGAAGGUUAAUUGAUGGGGUUAGCAUUAGCGAAGCUCUUGAUCGAAGCCCGAGUAAACGGCGGCCGUAACUAUAACGGUCCUAAGGUAGCGAAAUUCCUUGUCGGUUAAAUACCGACCUGCAUGAAUGGCGUAACGAGAUGGGAGCUGUCUCAAAGAGGGAUCCAGUGAAAUUGUAGUGGAGGUGAAAAUUCCUCCUACCCGCGGCAAGACGGAGAGACCCCGUGGACCUUUACUACAGCUUGACACUGCUAUUUGGAUAAGAAUGUGCAGGAUAGGUGGGAGGCUUUGAGUAUAUGACGCCAGUUGUAUAUGAGCCAUUGUUGAGAUACCACUCUUUCUUAUUUGGGUAGCUAACCAGCUUGAGUUAUCCUCAAGUGGGACAAUGUCUGGUGGGUAGUUUGACUGGGGCGGUCGCCUCCCAAAUAAUAACGGAGGCUUACAAAGGUUGGCUCAGAACGGUUGGAAAUCGUUCGUAGAGUAUAAAGGUAUAAGCCAGCUUAACUGCAAGACAUACAAGUCAAGCAGAGACGAAAGUCGGUCUUAGUGAUCCGGUGGUUCUGUGUGGAAGGGCCAUCGCUCAAAGGAUAAAAGGUACCCCGGGGAUAACAGGCUGAUCUCCCCCAAGAGCUCACAUCGACGGGGAGGUUUGGCACCUCGAUGUCGGCUCAUCGCAUCCUGGGGCUGGAGCAGGUCCCAAGGGUAUGGCUGUUCGCCAUUUAAAGCGGUACGCGAGCUGGGUUCAGAACGUCGUGAGACAGUUCGGUCCCUAUCUGCCGUGGGCGUAAGAAGAUUGAAGAGAUUUGACCCUAGUACGAGAGGACCGGGUUGAACAAACCACUGGUGUAGCUGUUGUUCUGCCAAGAGCAUCGCAGCGUAGCUAAGUUUGGAAAGGAUAAACGCUGAAAGCAUCUAAGCGUGAAGCCAACUCUAAGAUGAAUCUUCUCUAAGCUCUCUAGAAGACUACUAGUUUGAUAGGCUGGGUGUGUAAUGGAUGAAAGUCCUUUAGCUGACCAGUACUAAUAGAGCGUUUGGCUUAUCUUUAAUAAAGCAU